This 17654-nucleotide long non-coding RNA is filed under the name Brassica rapa (field mustard). RNAcentral's name for it is "long non-coding RNA (BRAP_LNC007194)". The record is from RNAcentral. Lineage: Eukaryota; Viridiplantae; Streptophyta; Magnoliopsida; Brassicales; Brassicaceae.
AUUUAGGGUUUAGGGUUUAGAUUUAAAAUUUAGAACUUAGAUUUAAAGAUUUAGAGUUUAGUUAGUGGCGUUAGUAUCAUUAAAAUGAGCGUCACUAUUUUUUUCAAUUAUUUUAGAUUUUUUUUUUAAAAAAUAAUAUAUUUUAUUAUUAAUCUAUGUGGCAUUUUGAUUGGUAAUAAUAGAGAAGGUGAAUUUAAGAGUGAACCUAAGUUUUGUUCUAACAUAAAUCUCAAAAAGUAACUAAAAGAAAGUAAGGUUAACAAAAUCACGUAUUUUACGUAUAGAGCAAGUAAAAUAAACUUAACACUUUUUUUUUGUUUUCGACACUUUCCAAAUAACAAAGAUGCAUGCAUGGUUUAAUAGACCAAAUCAAAGAGAAAGAAACAAAUCACAUGAAAGGAAAAAAUACGUAUAUAUAUAAACUAGUUGAAUCUACGUUUUCUCCAGCGAAUCCGACUGGUGUCUUGCUUCGAAAACCCUGGAAGCCUAACAAAGCUAGGAACGUAGCUGCAUAAAAAAGGAAAACCACAUUCCCCUUCAUCUGCUUUAAUUACUUGGAAUUCCUUGUCGCUGAUGACUCUGAUAAUAGAUAGUCCCUUCAUGCCAGUAUCACUACAAGUUAUAACAAGCCUAUUGUUUUUGUCGAAAUAAUAAUUUGUAGAAAGGAGGGUAGGACGUGGAUAUAUAAGCGGAAAUUCUGGUAUGUCCACGACCACCAAUUUGGUCCAAGAAGUAAGCAUAAGCCAAUGCUUCACCCAUAUGCAUAUCUUCCUUGUUUUGCGACAUUGCUCCAACACCGAAAGCCUAUCUCCUUUAUAAAUCUCUAGUGCAAUAGGAUUCAACUCAUCAUAGCUGAAUGGCAAGUCAUCUAUGGGCUGAAACCUUUCUUUGUAAAAAUCAUAGCUUUGUACAAAAGCUGUAUGAUCUUCUCGAAGACCUAUACAAUAAGGAGUUCCUCUCAGAGAGAGGAUCGACAACGGCACGCUAAGGAACCAAUCAGAACUGAUGUUAUCUAUAACCUUCCAUGUUUUGGAUGCAACUUCACAGACCUCGACCCUUGAAGGUCUAUUUCUGGAAUUAUUAGCACAACGAAACCUUAAGAUCCUGUAAUCACAGUGGCUGAGGUAUCCAAGGCUGUAAGCAUCAUCUCGUUGGUGAAAGUCACUACCGCAUUUGAUCCAGGUUGUUUCCUUCAGUAAUGGGUUCCUAACCACAAGCUGGUUGUCCAUGACACACAAUAACAAACCGUCGCAAUGAACAGUCUUGUACACCCUAACUGGAUUACAUGUUCGAGCUUUUAUAAGGGUAAAGUCUUGGACGAUCAAGGACGGGGGAUCGACCACGUUUUUCUGCUCCUCAAUGCCCACGGCAGAAAUCGUAGGACCAGUGUCUUUGAGUAUAAACCGAUGCUCACCACUAUAGCUGUGCAUGUGAAACGACAAGUUCUUCUUGUUGAGUCUCUCCUCCAAAAUAAGACUAUUCCAAAGCUUACAUACACAUCUCAACGUUGCAAGAUAUUUCCAUGGAACUCUGGCGAGAAUUUCCUCUUCCAAAUCAUAUGGUAGCUUCAGUGCCAUUGUCGUGGAACCUGGUUUGUCAAAAGAGAGGUAAGACGCGAACAAUGUUUUCUAACCGUAAAAUACGUAUGUAUGUACAUAUAGAUGACGAUAAAAAAAAGAAAUUGGAAAACAUAAAUAAUCGGAAACUUGGAUAAAUAAAGUUUCUAUAUUUCAGUGAUAGUUUCCUAUUAUUUAUGGUUACCAUAACAGCCGGCUGCUUCUUUUUUCUUUUUUUUAACUCUUAUUAGUAACACUAGAGAUUUUUUCCGCCCGUAUCUUAUAAAUUUAUUUUAUUUAUAAUAUUAUUUGUCGGUUUUUUUCUUUUACAUUAACUUCUUGUUUUUUCAAUGUUAGUUUUUCUUAAUUUAAAUUUGUAUGUUUAUAAUUUUUCAUUUUUCUUGUUGUAUAUGUAGAAUUAUAUUUUGUAUUGAUGGUUUUUUGUAUGUGACAUAAACUUUUUGAAAUUUUAAAAUAAUGUUAUAUAUAGUACGAUUAACACAUUAAAAAAGAGAAACAUAUUCAAGCACAUUUUACACAGAUUUUAUAUGCAUAAUUUUAAACAUUAUAUAUGUAUAUAUUAUAAGUUUGAAACAUGUAAAUGCUUUCUAAAGCUAAAUACUUGUUCUGAGUUUACAUAACUUAUCAAAAGUUUUAUCUCUUUUUAAAUUCAAAUCACAGAAAAAAUAUAUCAAAAAGUCAGUAUAGAUAGGUUUUUUGGGCUUUUAAAUCAACACUGAAAAAUUACAUGAAUCCGAUAACAACAGUUUUAAAAACAACUGGAUAAAAUUUGACCGAGCCAAAGAUUUUCACACAAUAUGUUAUUUCUUCUUCAAAUUGCGAAGAGCCUAUACGCACAAGAAAAAAAAAUCAUAAUUUUUGUUUUCACUUAUAUAACAUUUCUUCUCCUUUACACACAAAGUUUAUUACACUGCUAUAAGCAAUGGAGAACUCUAUUCAUAUAAGAUUCACAUCUAUGCAUUUUUACAAAGAAGAAUUUUAGCCAUCUUAAGUUUCGGAAUGGACCAACUUCAGUCAUAUACACUAUAUUUCUCUAUGAUUCAAAUCUUACAAUUUUAAUAUAUGUACAGAUUUCUAUGUGAAAAAGCACGCACGCCAUCUAUCAUUCAACCUAUUAUUUUUUCCAAAGUAAACACUAUAAUCCUCGUUUGGUUAGCUCCACAAACUAAUCUCCUUAGAUCAGUUUAUUAAAAAAUAUGGAUACUAAUAUCAGAAAAAAAUAUAAACACUAUCAACAACAAAUAUUGGCACAAGACUAUUCCACGUAAUGCGUUUAUAUCAUGGCUGGCUUUGUAGAGAAGACUGCCAACCAAGAAUCGCUUAAGGCGUUGGGGGUUAAAUGUCUCAGGAACGUGCGUCCUUUGUAAUCUGGAAAUAGAGACUCACCAUCAUCUCUUCUUUGAGUGCUCUUUCUCUCACUUGAUAUGGAAGCCUUUUGCUGCUGAAGUUUGAAUUUCUCCUCCGGCUGAUCUACACUCUAUUGCAGCCUGGAUCAAUCAACCUCGCGUCAACGCAGAUACGCAUGCUACUCCAGUCAGCCAUCUACAUGCUGUGGAAAGAGCGUAAUGCUCGUGUGUUCACAGCUGUCUCCUCACCUUCAUCAGUCAUCCUUGCCUCUCUCGACCGUAUGAUGCGUGACCGUCUCCUCUCUUACCCGGCAAGUUCUUCUUUCUCUUCUUCUCUACUUCUUUUUAUCUUUCUUGUAUAAGACCUCCUUAAUGCUUUUUUUACCUUGUGUUAUUGUUGGUUGUUUUUGUUUCUUUGCUGUAAUAAGUUGUUUAAAAAGAACAGUGUAACCUUUCAGAAAAUAAUAAUCUUAACAUCUUACCAAAAAAAAACAAUAAAUAUUGACUUAUUUAUGUGAAUAUAUAUUUUUAUUUUAAAUCAUUAUAGUGGACGAAGAAAGCACCAUAAUUUAUACAACAAAUUUUCUUAGAUUCACCUCAUCAUACUCACCAUUUUACCAUUUUAAUUACAUAAUUUUACAUGAGCUUCUUCACCUCCCCGGUUAUUUUCUCUUUAUUUAUAACUACAAUAUAAAGUUAUGAACUAUAUAUAUUAUAAAUUAAUAAUUUCUAUACCCUUGAAGUCUAACGAUUAAAAAUAGAACAUAAUUUAAUAUAGAUAUAUGAUUCUAUUAAUAAAUUAGCAGUUACAAAUUUGAAAUUUCUAGAAAUAUCAAAAGUCGUAUGUUAGUUAAUUAUUUUCUAAAUGACAUAUAUUUUUAAUUCUUUUUGGAUGAGAAUAUUUUUGGGCUGCGAGAUUUUUCUUUACCUGGCCCACCGGCAAAUAUUUUUGCAGCCUAUUAUAUAUUUUUCUUUGGUUUUAUAGCGUUCGGACUGGUCCGAGUGGGAUAUUCAGUGAUGUUACGUGAUAUAAAUCAAGGAGCAUGGACUAUAGUUUUUUUCAAGUGACAUGGCAGUUUGAUAGGUGAGGAUUAUUUUGCCCAUGUGGCACCUCUACAAAAGCUAGAAUUUAGCUUCUUUUAUAUAGUAGGAUUCUAUUAGAAAAGACAGAGCUAUAACUCAAAAAACAGAGUUUCAUGAAACAAAAACAGAGCAAAACAGAGAACCACCUAUGCCCAUUUUCGAAAAAAAAAGAAUAAAAAACAGAGAACCAGCAGGUCUCAAAAGAUAAAACCAAGGAGAAGUAAUAGGAAAUCCUAUAUGUCGGCCAAAGAAAGACGCCGGCUGCUUUAGAGAUACUAUAAAGUAUAAUGUAAAUCUCAAAAACUGACAAUGUAUAAUUGGAAUUUGGAAAGACAAAUAAACUAGAAAAAUUGGAUACACCUAAGAGAAAAUUGCCAAAGAAAACAAAAAAAAUCAGGUUGUUGUCCCUUUGGUAUAAAACCAAUUUUAUCCAUUUUUUCUCAUUUUUACUCUUUUUAUUUCUGAAAACUAAUGAAAUAAAUAAUUUUGUGAAUCAAAAAAAUUAUUAAAAAUAAAAACAAUUAAUAAAACAUCUAUAUACACAAGCUGGUAAUUUUUUUUUGUUCAAAAAUUUGGUAAAUAAGAUUUUUAAAAUACGUUCUACUAAAAGUAGAAUGUGUCUUCUACGAAAAAUGGUAUAAUAGAAAACGAUUUAACGAUUUCUAAAAUAAACACGUUCAUCUAUUUUUUUUAGAACGUACAUUUUACUAUUUACUAAAUUUCUAAAAAAGAGAAAUGCGCAUUCUACUAAUCGUAAAGGUAUCCACUUUCCUUCCGAAUGCAUCUUCUACUUUUAUAAAGUAUUCAAAAUUUUGGAAAAUGUAUUUUCUACAAUGUACUCUUAUGUCUACUCAAAGUAGAAAGUGUAUUCAGAAUUUUUAUCAUUCUUCUAAACUUUUAGAAGUCACCUUCUACGGAUAAGAAUACCUGAUUUUUUGCGAAAAUUAAUGAAAUUUCAGUUAAGAAAAUAUUCUAAAGAGAUAUGGCCAGAGUUUAGAUCUUACUAAAUACAUAGCCGUUAAAAAUCACUAAAACAAAAAUUUGGAAUAGAUCUGAACUUGAAACAAAAUCAAUAAUCGAAUGGAUAUCUAAAUUUUUUAUCAUAAACUUUACAUACUUAAAAUAUUAACUAUAUUAAGUUUCAAAAUAAUCAAUAAUUUAAAUAUUAUUUAUAACUAAAAUAUCCAGAAAUCGAAAUACCAUAAUAUUUAAGUUGUUAUAAAAAUAUUUAGUGUUACAUAUAGCUGACAUUAAUUUCUUUUAAGUUACAUUACAAUUGUUUUAAAGGAUAAAAUAAGUAUAUUUUGUAUGUAUUGUGAACGGAGAAUGUAAAAUUAUUGUAUUUAAUUUAAUUUGAUUUUAAAAAAAUGCUAAAAUAAAAAGCUCAACUUAUAAUUUUAAUAUUGGUAUGAAAGUAAAUAUAUAUAAUUGCAUGGUCUAACAAAAAGAGAACAAACAAAAAUAACAGAAAUGAAAUUAGAUAACUUAUACUAAGACAAACAAUUAAUAUAUAUAUAUAUACCGACAAAAUAAAAAUAGAAUAUACCUUCAUUAAUAAUCGCAAUAAUUAUAUUAGAAAAUUUUGUUGACCGUAACAAAACUGUUUUGAGUCUUUCACAACAAACGAGAUAAAAAAAAUUAAUGAUAAAAAUUGCAAAAAAUAAUGUUCCAUGAAUAAUUAAAAUAAAAUCAUUAAAUUAAAAAUAAAUAUUAAAUAGAAAUGUAAUGAGACAAAUUCCAGCGCAAACUUGCUCUAGUAUCUUAAACACAAACUAGUUGAAUCUACGUUUUCUCCAACGAAUCCGACUGGUGUCUUGCUUCCAAAACACUGGAAGCCUAACCAAGCUUGGAACGUAGCUGCAUAAAAAAGGGAAAUAAAUUUCACAUUCAUUAGCUUUAAUUACUUGGAAAUCCUUGUCGUUGAUGACUCUGAUAAUAGAUAGACCCUUCAUGUCAGUAUCAUUACAAGUUAUAACAAGCCUAUUGUUUUUGUCGAAAUAAUAAUUUGUAGAAAGGAGGGUAAGACGUGGAUAUAUAAGCGGAAACUCUGGUAUGUCCACGACCACCAAUUUGGUCCAAGAAGUAAGCAUGAGCCAAUGCUUCACCCAUAUGCAUAUCUUCCUUGUUUUGUGACAUUGCUCCAACACCGAAAGCCUAUCUCCUUUAUAAAUCUCUAGUGCAAUAGGAUUCAACUCAUCAUAGCUGAAUGGCAAGUCAUCUAUGGGCUGAAACCUUUCUUUGUAAAAAUCAUAGCUUUGUACAAAAGCUGUAUGAUCUUCUCGAAGACCUAUACAAUAAGGAGUUCCUCUCAGAGAGAGGAUCGACAACGGCACGCUAAGGAACCAAUCAAAACUGAUGUUAUCUAUAACCUUCCAUGUCUUGGAUGCAACUUCACAGACCUCGACCCUUGAAGGUCUAUUUCUGGAAUUAUUAGCACAACGAAACCUUAAGAUCCUGUAAUCACAGUGGCUGAGGUAUCCAAGGCUGUAAGCAUCAUCUCGUUGGUGAAAGUCACUACCGCAUUUGAUCCAGGUUGUUUCCUUCAGUAACGGGUUCCUAACCACAAGCUGGUUGUCCAUGACACACAACAACAAACCGUCGCAAUGAACAGUCUUGUACACCCUAACUGGAUUACAUGUUCGAGCUUUUAUAAGGGUAAAGUCUUGGACGAUCAAGGACGGAGGAUCGACCACGUUUUUCUGCUCCUCAAUGCCCACGGCAGAAAUCGUAGGACCAGUGUCUUUGAGUAUAAACCGAUGCUCACCACUAUAGCUGUGCAUGUGAAACGACAAGUUCUUCUUGUUGAGUCUCUCCUCCAAAAUAAGACUAUUCCAAAGCUUACAUACACUUCUCAACGUUGCAAGAUAUUUCCAUGGAACUCUGGCGAGAAUUUCCUCUUCCAAAUCAUAUGGUAGCUUCAGUGCCAUUGUCGUGGAACCUGGUUGUCAAAAGAGAGGUAAGAUGCUCACAUGGUUUAUAACCGUAACAUACAUAUGUAUGUACAUAUAGAUGACGAUAAAAAAAAAGAAAUUGGAAAACAUAAAUAAUCGGAAACUUGGAUAAAUAAAGUUUCUAUAUUUCAGUGAUAGUUUCCUAUUAUUUAUGGUUACCAUAACAGCCGGCUGCUUCUUUUUUUUUUUUAACUCUUAUUAGUAACAUUGUAUUAGAAAAGACAGAGCUAUAACUCAAAAAACAGAGUUUCAUGAAACAAAAACAGAGCAAAACAGAGAACCAGCUAUGCCCAUUUUCGAAAAAAAAAGAAUAAAAAACAGAGAACCAAUAGGUCUCAAAAUAUAAAACCAAGGAGAAGUAAUAGGAAAUCCUAUAUGUCGGCCAAAAAAAGAGGCCGGCUGCUUUAGAGAUACUAUAAAGUAUAAUGUAAAUCUCAAAAACUGACAAUGUAUAAUUGGAAUUUGGAAAGACAAAUAAACUAGAAAAAUUGGAUACCCCUUUGAGAAAAUUGCCAAAAGAGAACAAAAAAAUCAGGUUGUUGUCCCUUUGGUAUAAAAUUAAUUUUGUCCAUUUUUUUUCCUUUUUUUUUGAAAGAAUUUUAAAUUUAUUCAAAUAAAAAAAAACCUUUGUACAGAGUUUUAUCUGCUACCAUAUUCAAAUACAUGAAAAGAAAUCCAAAAGAAAAUAUGCUAUCUAUAUCUCUCAAGCUUCACUAGACUCUGUCAAACCAAUCCUCCAUCAUCUUCUCAUAUUUGCCUCCUACCCUCCUUCUCAAUGAAGAUAUUCUGUUUCUAGUAAGCUUAUCAAGCCUUGCGAUCAGACAAGUAGCUGGCUGCGAUGCCUCACCCACUUUUCUCCUUUUUACUCUUUGUAUUUCUGAAAACUAAUGAAAUAAAUAAUUUUGUGAAUCAAAAAAAUUAUUAAAAAUAUAAACAAUCAAUAAAACAUCCAAAUACACAAGCUGGUAAUUUUCUUUUGUUCAAAAACUUGGUAAAUAAGAUUUUUAAAAUACGUUCUACUAAAAGUAGAAUGUGUCUUCUACGAAAAAUGGUAUAGUAGAAAACGAUUUCUAAAAUAAACACGUUCAUCUACUUCUUUUAGAACGCUCAUUUUACUAUUUACUAAAUUUCUAAAAAAGAGAAAUGCACAUUCUACUAAUCGUAAAGGUAUCCCACUUUCCUUCCGAAUGCAUCUUCUACUUUUAUAAAGUAUUCUAAAUUUCGGGAAAUGUGUUUUCUACAAUGUACUCUUAUGUCUACUCAAAGUAGAAAGUGUAUUCAGAAUUUUUAUCAUGCUUCUAAACUUUUAGAAGUCACCUUCUACGGAUAAAAAUACCUGAUUUUUUGCGAAAAGUAAUGAAAUUUCAGUUAAGGAAAUAUUCUAAAAAUCUCCUAGAAAUAUUCUAACUUCCUAAAACGUGUUAUGGUUGAUUUUACUUGAAAAAAUUAAAUAAAAAAACGAUUAUCCCUUCUCUUAUUCAUCAAUCUAUGGUUUUUCCAUAGUUUUUCUUUUGAUUCUUCUCACAAACUCUUGUUCUCUAAGAUGCAUAUCUAUACCUCUUUUUUUUUCGAUUGCCUUUCAACUGUUUUUUUUUCCUUUUCUCCAUUAACUUUUUUUUUUUUAAAAUUCAAAUUAACUUUUAAAUUGUGUUUAAUUAGAUUAAGUAUAGGGUUAGUUUGAUUAUGAGAAAAAUUAUACUAUUGAGAUAACUUUAUGUUGGUAUUAUACCAAGGGGACAACAACCUUAUUUUUUUGUUCUCUUUUAGCAAUUUUCCCCACCUAAUUACUGACAAUUUAUAAAAUUUUAAUUUUUUUUACCCGAGAGUUACUUGCACGUCACAAUAUUUCUUUUUACCAAUUUUAAGUCCCAUUUAUAAUAAAAUCUGAAUAAUUGGUCCUCCAAAUAGAACCCCUUCCCAACUCAUUCCAUCCAAAAUUUGGGCAUCUGUCCAACACACUUAUUUUCUCACAAAUGACGUAUAAUUGUGUUCCAUUGUUUAUGUGGUAGGUAGUUUUGAGUUGGACGUAGGGCUGGCAAUUAAGGUAACAUAUCAAGUUUGGUUUGGAUAUUUCGGAUAUCAGUUUGGAUAUAGGAAAAUGCGUACCAGUCAGAUAAUUUAAAAUUUUUGAUUUGGUUUGAUACUUUUCGGGUUUGGUUCAGUUGUAUCCGAAAAUUACUUGGUUGAGUCCAAAUAUAUAGAAAAUAACUGAUUUAUCUGAAAUGCGCGGAUCAAAGUUGUUUAUUUAUAUUCAAACAUGUAAAAAAUAUCUAAAUAUCCAUAAAUAAUUGGAAAUAUCUGAAUUAUCCACAAACAAAAUAACAUAUCCAAAUUUAUAGUUAUAGUUUAGUAAUUAAAGUACUAUAAGUAGUAAUAUAACUAGUAUUUAUAUAUAUAGUUAUACUUAGAAUAUUUUUGGAAAUUCGUUAUUUUUUUGGGUUCGGUUCGGGUUCGGAUAUGGUUCUACGUAUAUAGAAAUUCAUGUACAGUCCAGACAUCUAUGUUAGAUCGGAUUCUCUUGUGUACUUUAAAUUUGGAAUCGGAUCCAAUUUUGAACUUCGGAUCCAGAAAAUUUGUUCAAGUCUAGUUGAAUGUAUGUGGGUUUUAGGUGUCUUCUUUCCCUAGGUGUUUUGGAUUUCAGAUUUUAUAUUUCCUUAGUAUCUGCUUUUUCUUAAAUAAAAAACUCGGAAACAUUUAUGCUAAAGCUUUUGUUAGUUGUGUUGAGAGACGUACACUUCUUAUUCACAUCUAUUUAUACACAAUAGAUCUUGUUGGUAACCAUAAUCAACUUCACACAUCAAAAUCUAUUGAUCUCUGAGUUAAUUUCCUCUCUCUCAAAGGAGAAAAACUUCUCAAAGUUCCAAUAAGUUUUCUAAAAUGUAUUAUGUAUAGCUCAGCUUUCUUCUAACACCUCUUGUACUACUAACUUCAUAAUUUGUACAAGAUCUACUUCAAAUGUUUUCAAAGUUACUAGAGUCCAUAACUUUGUAUCUGCUGAGUAAGCCAAUGCUAUUCUCCCUUCUUAAGAGAACUCCAGCGCCUAGUUUCUCACUUAAUAUCUCAUAAUUUAAUAAAAAAGGCAAAAAAGAAUGAGAGAAACAUACUCACGGAUUCUCAAAUCAUCGGUCAUAACAUACUCUUGGAACCUCUUUUGAAAACAUGUCACUUGGUAAGUGAAUUUGCUUUUUUUUUUUAAAUAACAAACUAAUAGAACAUAUUAUAAUAAGAAUAUUUUAUGUUUGAGAAAUUCGAUUUGAGAAUCUCACGGCUGAGGUUUCACUAACUCAGUGGAGAAUUCUUGGUCGUCCUAGUAAUUGUACUAUCCAUACGACACCGGAAUGUAAACAUUUCAAAUCGACAAUGGAAUAUCUGUAAUUAAUGCUUCUUUUCACUUGAUCCAGUGUUGUUACGAGCUUCAUUUAGUAUAUGGACUCCAAUGAUGCAUUUCCAACUAGUUAGUCAACCUAUACGUACAUAGGACUCCCUUUGGUUAUUCUCCAUGAAUCAGUUUAGCUCCUAAUGUUAAAACGUGAAGCCCAUAAUCGUGUUUGAUGGUAACUUUAUUACAACAAAAGGUUAUAUAGAUACAGAUGGAGGUUUAUCUCGGUCUCUUUGUUAUCAUCAUUACCAAGGAUUCCUUCUUAAUUCAGGCUUCACUGCUUUAACUUGAUCUCCUAAACCAUUGAGUGUGAGAGUAUUCACUAUUUGUUACUUCUAAAAUAUGAGAAGCAUCUAAAUUAAGUAGCGCACUUGAAAAAUAUGAAGGAAAAAGAAUAAUUAUACUAAAGGCAUGAGACAUUGUGCUUAGUUGCCUAAGCAACAUGAGCUCCACAAGAACCUAAAAAAGAAAACACAAUGAAUUAUAUGCAAAAGAUAAAGAAACAUGGAAGGAGAUGAUAAGGAAUCAAAUCAUAUCAUCAUGUGCAGCAAGCAACAAAAUGAUGAGAGUAGUGUUCUCGAUAGCUUUGGUUACCAUCUUGUCACCAAUAAUAAAACAUUCCUCUUUCUUAGCAAUUCUAAUCAUUCCUUUGGCCAUCGCCAAACCGGCCUUGGAAGUGAUGAAACCCACGAUGAACCUGCUUCAUGAACAUCAAAAUCCAAAAUAAAUAAUUUUGUAGGAAAAAACUAACGUUUCAGUCUUUAGGUGGCUUUGGACCAGUUUACGUAUCUUAAUUGGGAUGUAAAUCUUAAUAAUUUAUGUGCCUGAAUUUGACAUGGAUACUAGUUUUUAAAAAGGGUAAAUCAACCUAAUAACUACAAAAACAAGUAACAUAUGGAAUGUGAAGAGGUGUAGUGCACAAUAUUUGUCAUUUUUAAGGCAAAACAAAUCAAACCAGACAAUCUUAAUACCCAUGAAUCCCUUAUAUUUGAAAUCAAAUGAAGAUAUCCAAGUUGAAGUUGCAUCACAUCAGCUAAUCAAACAAUAAGAGAGACAUUAAACUCAUGAACAAACCCAAAAUUCAUGAGCAAUGUUCAAAACAUUUUCUUUUGAGUAACUUUUAAAGUUUACACUAUAGUCUUUUACUUUGUAUCUUAUUUUAAAAAUAAUCCUUUCACUAAUUUUCAAAAUUUAUAGAAGAAUACGAAAAAAAUUAACAAGGCCAAUUUGUACCCAUUAUAAACAAAUUAAUUGUUGGUGUUAGCAAAACUUAUUGAAGCAUUACGUUCCAAUGUAACUAAAAUAAUCAAUUUAUUCAAGCAUGUGAAAAUAACAUGUUCUUUGCGUGUAGAACAAUGAACAAUUAUUUAACGGGAAAGGGAUUCACUAUGUUGGGCUCAGUGAACGGGAAUCACAUCGAAGUCGAGUAUGAACAGAGAGGGUAGCUUCUUUCUGUUGUAUUUAUGUUCUGAAUUUUGUUGUGUAUAUUGGAUUUUAUAUUAUUCUUACAACAUCUCUUAAAUGAUUUAAUAUAAAAAAAUCCUUGAUUUCACAGUUCUCUUAGCGGAUCAAACUAAAUCUUGGUUUACGUCCUAGGUUAAGUCUAUAUUCAUUACCUCUAAUAACAAAGACAUUAAAUAAGAUAAAUGCUUAAAUGUUUGGUGGUGAAAGUUGUAAAGAAAAGUAAUAAUACUAGUGAUUAGGUCAAAAGAUAGUUAUGUGGCACUCUGCUUGAAUAAGAAUACGUUUUGCAUAAAGAUAUUUAAUCACACCAGCUUCAAUUUUAGAUGUUUUCCUUAUUAAUUUUUUUGAUUUCGGUAUGAUACUUUGAUUCACAAUUUGAUUUUUUUACUGAUAUAAUUUAACCAGUCAAAAAACCUGUAUUAAUAUGAAAUACUAGCUAUCAAAUUUAAACGUUAAAGUAAUCUGAUUCUUGUUUAGAGAAAUGUUUUUUUUUUGUUGUUGUUUGGUGUUACACUUUCCAUCCGAAGAGAUAUGAACUUCAUGUUCAUACUUCGGUGCUUUUGUAAUUUGUUUUGUCAUUUGAUAGAGUAAUUUUAAGUUAUAAAGUAUUACAAACCAAAUUUUUCUUGUGAAACACAAAUCUCUUUCAAUUAUGGUUUACAAAAAAAUUUUAAAGCACAAUUUCAUUUCUUGACUCUACAUACAAAAUACCUAAAUCAUUUGUAUCUUGUUUUUAGAAAAACUAUAAAUGAAUAAUAAAAUAUUAUUAAACAUGCAACCAAAAUCAUACAUCAAAAAAAUUAUUUAUAAAAACAUGUAAAAAUACAACUCAUUCCACUCACAACUCUAGAUUCUAUGAUGAGAUACAUCAAGCUAAUUUUACUUGUCUAAUCCAUCUUCUCGUGAUCUUCGUACUAACAUUUUAAGCCUUCGUAAUGUUCAAGGAUAUCAAGCCUUGACAACUGAAGCCCAUAGUUAGAGGCCCAUCCGUGGUAAAAACCAAACAUUAAAAUUGGUAUAGAAAUCGAAUCAGACAUAUAUAAUUUUUCUGUAAUCAGAAAUAUACAUCCAGUAACAUUAUACUUUCAUGAAAAAUGGAAAAAUACAAAAACAUCAAGAAAAAGAAGAAAACUCAACCACUAAAGCCAAUCCAUUACCUCUCUCCAUGGUACGAUAUAAACCAAACCAAAACCAGAAACCAACCAAACCGGAAAUCAAAGAUCAGCAAAACCAAACACUUUCCAGUUUCCACAGCUAACGUUAUUCACUGUACAAAUCUAACAAAGCUUUACUCAGCCUUCACAAAACCAUCACUCUUUUGAAGUCGAAUCCGUCUGAGACACCCCACUACCCUGACGAUCUGAGUAAGGUCUAACAAACGAUCUCCUCCACCAAACCUCAAAAGCUCUCUGCAGAUUCGGACAACCAUCUCCACCAUUCAAGAAGCUCCCAAGCCAAGACAUCAAAAUCCUCUGCUGAUCUUCCAGCGGCAACGUCAGUAUCGUCCUCCCUAUCCCUUCCUCCACAAGCUUCCCAUCGAACGAUCUGCAACCGUGCUGCAGCCAGUUAUAGUCCUUGAACAAAGGCUGCAGCCACGUGGUCAGCAGCAAAAGCCUAGUGUCUUUCGAAGGCAACAGCUCCCCUCUCCCUAUCCCUACGAAGAGCCUAGACGUCACACGGCUUAUAUGGUAACGAGACACCAAAGGAACCUUCUCGUGUAACAAAGCGAGCUCCUUUUGGUUAGCCCACGUGACUGAAAACUCCUCUGCUGCUUGUCUUUCCGCCAACACAUCAAGCAGCCACGUGAGGUUAUCAGCUUCCACACCUAUCUGUUUAGCAUCACUCUCGUCCUGUCUGAACAGAGACAAGACCAUGUCUAAACAUCUCUGGCAAGAGGAGUAGAUCGUCUCGUUGAAAUUCUCAGCUACAUUGUUCCCGUUCUGUUCCCUGAGAAGCUUCAGGACUAUAGACUUCAUCUCGCGACGGCUCUUCUCCUUGCUUCUUAACACAAGCUCGAUGAUGCGUGAGAGCGUCUCUUUAGGCGGAUCCACAGAAGAGGAAGCAACUCUUUUGAGGACAGGAGUAGUCACAACACUAACACCUUCUGUCUUCAACCUAAGUAUCGACGAGAUCACUUUCUCCUCUUCCUCUUCACCAACCCAAGGCACAGCUUCUAAAUAAUCCAAACAAGACUGAACACAAGAACCGAAGCCAAGAAGCUCCGCAACCUUAAGGACACGGAGGACUCUGGUCACGCUCUGUCUCAUAAGCCUUUGAUUCAUGUCUUUACAGUACAUAAGCCCAAAACUAAAUUACUAGAGAAUGUUAUAUUAUAUACCUAGAUAGUAUGACCAUUAUACACCAUUCAUAUAUCAAAUUAAAUUAUUAUAUAUUUUUUCCUUCAAUAAAACCUACGGAAUUACGAUUAAGAUAUAUAUUACAAUUAAUGAUUUUAAAUAAUAAAGCUCUGCUAACAAUUUGUAUACUUUCUAUUAUUUUUGUUUAAUUAUUUUUAUUAAAAUAAAUCACACAAUUACAUUAACCAUAUAAUAAAUUUUAGAUUUUUUUGUACAUGUUGUAUUUUGAAUUUUUCAAAACGAGUAUAAAUUACUAAAACUGUUAAAAGUUUCACAUAAACUUUUGUGAUCAAAGUUUAAAUUUUUUUCUAUAAUAAGAUACAAUGAUUAUAAAAUCAAAUGAAUAAAUAAAUUUAUUUUAAUAGGUGUUUAUGUUAAUAUAUAUAUAUAUAUAUAUAUAUAUAUAUAUAUAUAUUUAAUUUCGUUUAAAUGAAACUAUACAUCAUAUGAAAAUACAUACUUAUAUUUUGAUAUUUACUUUGAAUACAUCUUGAGAAGUUAAUAUUUUAAUUUUGAAAUCUUCAUUGUCUUUUUAAAAUGAUUAUAAAUUACUGAAACCACUAAACAUUCCACAUAAAAAAAUCGUUGGUGUAAAAUUUUGUUACAAAAAUGCAAAUAAUCAUAAAUCAUUUGAGUAGAAACCUCAUUUAAUAAAUAUCCAAACUAUAUAUCUAUGUUAGUAUCAUUUAAAUUUAAUUAUAUAUCAUACACGAUAGAUAAAAUUGAUUGGUUUAAUUUAUUUAUCGUAAAAUGAUUGCGAAUAAACAAGAGUGGUCGUUGAUUUAUAUGCGUAUGCCAAUUUAUUACAUAAUAGUAGUUAUUUAAUAUAUAAUUAUUAUUUUAUAAUUUCAUAAUAUGCAAAAAAUAUAAAAUAAGUAAUAAAUAUAAAAUAUUUAUUCUGCACAAGGCGCAAAUCUUAAACAUUUUCUAAAUCUCAGGCCAAAACAAAAUAACGAAAUAAGAAUAAACUCAAAAAUCAAUAUUUAUAUCGAGCAAUAACCAAAAUUAAAAAAACGAUGCAAAAAUGAAAAAAAUAUUAAAAAAUAGUUAAGUCUAAUGAAAGGGUCCAACAACUUUUCAUAGGUAGAUUUUUUAAAACUCCUUCUCUUUUAAUAGUAUAGAUUUUAAUUUUAGUGUUAUAUAUUGUCAAUAUAAACCUAUUAUUUUAGUAAAUUGUAUACAUGGUAGCAUCCAUCAUAUUACUUUAGUAAAUUUUAUUGAUGUAGAAUAUUUUUUGGAUGUUAUGAUAUUAAGUUUUUUUUUGUUAUUAAAUUAAGACUUCAAAAUAUUAGAUUACUUUAAUUUUUAUAACAUAGUUUGUUUUUCCGUGUAACAUUUCAAGAAAUUAUUCUUUAUUAUCUAUGAUUAUACCUUUUGAAAAAUUUAAAACAUUAUCAUUUUAAGUUUGCAUACGUAUUUUUUAAAUUUUAUAUUUUGUCAAAAAAUUUUGGAAAAUUACACAAGUACUAUAUUUGAGAUGGGAGAUUAUAUGAUUUUCGAAAUUGUUUUGUUACUAAAUUAAUACAUUAUUUUAUAUAAAUAAUUUUAAUUUCGGUAAGAUUUUUAAACAUCUCUCAGAUUAUGUUUAUAAUUAAUAUAAAUAUUAAAUUUAUAAUUAAAAUUUGAUUUGUCAUUAAUAUUUUGAAUGAAUAAUUAAAAUUUCAUAGAUUUCUAAUAACAUAUUUUUAAAUAGUAUAUGAACUAAAGGUUCGUUAUAAACUAUUAUAUUUUUGUAUAUUAUUAUUUUUUAAACAAUAUAUUGUUGAGAGUUUCAAAAUAAAAAAAAAUGAAAUAAUAUGUAGUUGUAGAUAUAAAAGUUUAACCUAUGUUAAUGAAUGUAUGUUUAUAAAUUUGUUUUUCAAAAAAAUAUAAUAAAAUUUACGAAUUUUAACACAUUUUGAUGAUGAGUAAUAAUUUAUUUAAAUGAAACUAUUUUAAAAAUAAAAUAGAUAAAUUUACCCAUAUUUAAUUCAUAUAGUACUUCAAUUUUAAUAUAAUACAUAAUAUAAUUAAAAUAUAUAUAAAAUAAUAUAGAAUUUUAUUUUCUUGUUUUAUAAUAAAUUUUUAAUUAACAUUGAAUUAUAAAGUUAUAUUAGUAUUUACGAAAUUAAUUAAAUGUUAUUUUAUAAAAAUAUUUAAAAGGUUGGUAAGAUUUUGUUAGAUUCUUUCUCAACAUAAUUUGUUAUACAUAAAAAUAAAUUUAUAUUUAUAUUUGUUUUAUUAUUAAUGUACAUAAUGAAAUAUGUCAUAUUAAGUAACUUUUUAGAUAGUCCUAGUAUGACUUGUUAACAGUAGAUAAAAAAUGGACAGAACUUAGGUUCACCACCUAGGGUGAACCUUUAAAUUCACCCCACCCUUUAAAACCAAUUAAAUUUCCACAUAGAUUAUUAAUUAAUAAAUAUUAAAUUAAAUAAUAAAUAGCUACAAAAAAUAAAAAUGUUAAUUUUAACGACACUAACACUUCUAGCGAAACUCUAAAUCAUAAAUUUUAAAUUCUAAACCCUAUACCCUAAAUUCUAAACCCAAAUCCAAACCCCUAAACCCAAAACCUAUAUCAUAAACCCUAAUCCUAGACCCUAAACCCUAACCCUAUAGCCUAAACACUAAUCCUAGACCCUAAACCAAAAAACCUAUACCCUAAACCCAAAUUAUAUACCUUAAGCCCAAAAAAUAGACUAUGAACCUAAACCCUAUACCAUAAACUCAAGUCUUAGAUCCUAAACCUAAACCGUAAAUCUUAACCCUAAUCCUAUAGCAUCUAAGUUUGAGGUUUGGGUUUAAGGUUUACCGUUUGAGUUUUAGGUCUAGGAUUUGGGUUUAGGGUAUAAGUUUUGGGUUAGGAUUUACGGUUUGGGUUUAGUAUUUACCGUUUGGAUUUAUAGUUAAAGUUUUGGGUUUAGGGUAUAUAAUUUGGGUUUAAGGUUUAUGGUUUGGGUUUAAGGUCUAGAACUUGGGUUUAAGGUAUAGAAUUUAGGUUUAUAGUCUAGUUUUUGGGUUUAGGGUAUAUAAUUUGGGUUUAGGGUCUAUGAUUAGGGUUUAUGGUAUAGGGUUUGGGUUUAGGGGUUUGGAUUUGAGUUUAUAAUUUAGGGUAUAGGGUUUAGAAUUUAAGAUUUAGGGUUUAGGUGGAAGCUUUAGCGUCGUUAAAAUUAGCGUUUUUAUUUUUUGUAACUAUUUUUUAUUUAAUUUAGUGUUUUUUUAAUUAAUAUAUUAUGUGGAAAUUUGAUUGGUUUUAAAAGGUGAGGUGAAUUUAAAGGUUCAUCCCCUAGGGUGAAUCUAAGUUCUGUCCAUAAAAAAUAGGACUCUGUUUUAAUAGAUUAGAUAUCAAGUUUGGUUUGGAUAUUUCGGAUAUCAGUUUGGAUAUAGAAAAAUGCGUACAAGUCAGAUAAUUUAAAAUUUUUUAUUUGGUUUGAUAUUUUUCGGGUUUGGUUCAGUUGUAUCCGAAAAUUACUUGGUUGAGUCCAAAUAUAUAGAAAAUAACUGAUUUAUCUGAAAUGCGG